RNAcentral lists this ribosomal RNA (253 nucleotides) under uncultured bacterium. RNAcentral describes it as "partial 16S ribosomal RNA". It matches the Rfam family "Bacterial small subunit ribosomal RNA", at positions 524 to 776 of the family's 1533-position model. The record is from RNAcentral.
UACGUAGGGUGCGAGCGUUAUUCGGAAUUAUUGGGCGUAAAGGGCGCGUAGGCGGCCUUGUAAGUCAAAGGUGAAAUCCCUCGGCUCAACUGAGGAACUGCCUUUGAAACUGCAAGGCUUGAGGCCGGGAGGGGGUAGCGGAAUUCCCAAUGUAGCGGUGAAAUGCGUAGAUAUUGGGAGGAACACCAGUGGCGAAGGCGGCUACCUGGACCGGUUCUGACGCUGAGGAGCGAAAGCGUGGGGAGCGAACAGG